Molecule: ribosomal RNA, 252 nt
Filed under: uncultured bacterium
Lineage: Bacteria
Description: partial 16S ribosomal RNA
Rfam family: Bacterial small subunit ribosomal RNA
Source: RNAcentral
CACGUAGGGCGCAAGCGUUGUCCGGAAUUAUUGGGCGUAAAGGGCUCGUAGGCGGUUUGUCGCGUCGGGAGUGUAAACUCAGGGCUUAACCCUGAGCCUGCUUCCGAUACGGGCAGACUAGAGGUAUGCAGGGGAGAAUGGAAUUCCUGGUGUAGCGGUGAAAUGCGCAGAUAUCAGGAGGAACACCGGUGGCGAAGGCGGUUCUCUGGGCAUUACCUGACGUGAGGAGCGAAAGUGUGGGGAGCGAACAGG